Molecule: long non-coding RNA, 1390 nt
Organism: Apis cerana (Asiatic honeybee)
Lineage: Eukaryota; Metazoa; Arthropoda; Insecta; Hymenoptera; Apidae
Source: RefSeq, a predicted model, not a curated record
AUUCUUCGAAGAUUCUUAUCGAGAAAUCUUCUGAGAAAAUUCGCGCCGCUUUCGUGAACGAUGAGUCGAAAGUUUUUGCGGCCAGUCUCAAAAAAUCAAAGAGAGAAAAAUAAAAGAGAGAGAGAGAGAUAGAGAGAGAGAGAGAUCACAAGAGAAAGAGAGUAUUCUGUACAAUGUUUCCACGAUCCGAGCCUCAAUUCGAUGGAAAACAAGAAAUUAAUCCGGAUGAAUAUUCGAUUCAGAUGGAUAUUACUCACGCAUCACACUUUCACGUGUAAUUAAUAUUUAUGCGAUCGACGCGAAUAAGAUUAAUUAAAAUUCGCGCGAAAUGCUCGAUGUUACUAUAAAGAGAAGGCAAGUUGAUCAGGUUGCGAAUUCAUUAAACGUAACGAUGAUUAAAAGUCGCGUGACGUUGCUCGAGGCGUUCAUUUCGCGAAAAACCGAAGGUGCUUCACUUUAUUUUAAGUCGAACGUGAAAUGUGGAAAUAAUAUUUCAUGUCGUGGAGUGGUGUUUAAAAGAGGUUUACUAACACACUUUGGAAUUUGUCUCCAUUAAAGUUAUUUAAUAUGUUUAUGAAUAUUUAAAGUAAAAUAUAUUUCUUGAGAAAAUAGACGCAAUGAGAGAAAUGUGAAAGGUAGAAUUAAUUGAUCAUCAGAAAAAAAAUAAGAAGCUGACGGAAACCUUGCAUUCCAUCUUUCGAUCGCAGAUAAUAUUCUUCCGGCAAAAGUCGCGCGCCGGUUCCUGACUAACUGCCAUAGAUGAUGAAGACACGAAUUCUACUACUGAAGCAAACUUACUGAAUGGUAUUACUACUCUUCACGGCGGGAGGGCCGAGUCAGGCUUACUUUACACCGUCAGAUCUUAAUUUAAUGCUUGAAACCCGCUACGACAUCGAUGCCUCUCUUUCGACUCGUGUCCCACUGCGAUCCGUUCCUUAGAAAUCCAACAAGCUCAAUGGCUGCCGGGGGUAACUGAGUUAUUUCAUCAUACCGUAUAUCGGAUAAAGUAAAUGUAUGCAUGCGAUUGUGAGAAGAGAAGAAGAUGGGUAUCUUCAGAAGCUAGAUAUAAUUAUACUGUCUGAUCGUAACAUUUCAUAUGUUCGUUGCUUAAUUAAAAAACUUACUAAUUUUAAAUAUAAAUAUAAUUAAAUGUAAAUUGUUUUUAAUGAAAAUUCUUAUAACAUAUAUUUUUAAUUAUUAAAUAAAUUUAUAAAUGAAAAUUUAAUAACAGUAAUAUGUAUGUAUCAUUUCUACAUUUAUAUGUUAUAUAAAUGUAUAAGAAUUUAAUGUUAAAAUUAUGGAAUAUUGAUAAUUUAAUUUUGGAAAUAAAGCACGUUCGUUUAUAUAGAGAUUUUGUAACAUAAAAAUGUAAACUCAAGAAUGAAAAAAA